AGAGGCCUCGAGCGUUAGGCGGAAUCACUGGGCUUAAAGCGUGUGUAGGUGGAUGCCUAAGUGCCUUGUGAAAUCCCAUGGCUUAACCAUGGAAUUGCUGGGCAUACUGGGUGUCUUGAGCCACUCAGGGGCUACCGGAACAAGCGGUGGAGCGGUGAAAUGCGUAGAUAUCGCUUGGAACGCCAAUGGUGAAAACAGGUAGCUGGGGGUGUGCUGACACUGAGACACGAAAGCCAGGGGAGCGAACGGGAUUAGAUACCCCGGUAGUCCUGGCCCUAAACGAUGUCCACUAGAUUGUGGCGGUUCUAACGCCGUCAUGGUCGUAGCAAAAGUGCUAAGUGGACCGCCUGGGAAGUACGGUCGCAAGGCUA
This 371-nucleotide ribosomal RNA is filed under the name uncultured bacterium. RNAcentral's name for it is "bacterial SSU rRNA". It matches the Rfam family "Bacterial small subunit ribosomal RNA", at positions 527 to 896 of the family's 1533-position model. The record is from RNAcentral.